RNAcentral lists this long non-coding RNA (7669 nucleotides) under Homo sapiens (human). RNAcentral describes it as "HSALNT0407565". Lineage: Eukaryota; Metazoa; Chordata; Mammalia; Primates; Hominidae. The record is from RNAcentral.
CUUUGCUACCGCCAGGCUCCUGACCCCAGCUUGGACAGCAGGCCGCCGAGCGCCCCUGACGCCCGUUACCGAGAUGGCUGCGCAGAAGGGUAACCCAGAAUGACAUCUAUGCCUUUCAUCUGUAAAAUAACAACAACAGUGGGCUCUGGGAACACAGACUAAGACUCCUUAACCACAGCCAUAGGGGGUAGGGUGAGGAAGGCAUCCAGAAGGAGUGAGCCAGCAGACAGGAGAGGGUACAGGUAGGGACUACAUAAUGGAAGGGUUUAUAUCAGUGUGUCAGAGAAAGAAGAUUCAAGAAAGAGAUUGGUGAUUUACUGAAAUCCUCAUUGCUGGCUUCAUCCUUAUUCUGAAGAUCCUACGAUGCCUGGAGAAAUUCUAGGCCUCACAUCUGGAGUGGCUGUGGGGCUGUGAUCUCUCCUAGAACCUCAGAGGCAUGAAGCUAGAAUAUCUUCCCCUUCAAGGAGAAUAAGCCAAGGGUAUAUGAGACAAGGACCUGGGGAGUUGGCCUCUUUGGUUCAUUCUUUGUACUGUUUAUCUAUGGUUGUUGCGGCCUUUGUUGAUGACAUUCAGCAUUGACUUCUUGGGUAAGGUAUUCAGUAGUUAAGAUUCAAUGACUCCAGUGAAAGGUAUGUUUCCAUCGUGAUGUUCUUCUUCUGGACAAUAAGUGAAAAGAGCAUGUGAGUACCUCUCUCACUCCCAGCAAAUAAUUGUUGUGUCACCUCCACAUGUUUCUUCACGAUUCGAGGCUUUGAUUUCCCCUGCAAGACAAAAUGCAAUGAAGUGAUACAGAAAAAAAGAAAUUCUAUGCUGUCAUCACACUAGACCAUGAUGUUGAUUUAUGGAUGGUCUGCUUUCUUAUAUGCACUUAAUAUUUUUGUACAAGCAAACCUGAAAAGUGUCAAAAUCCCCUUUAACAGAUUAACAGGCUGAGAUGGGUUAAAGUGAGCAAGCCGGGAAGUGGUGGAGCUGGGAUCCACACCCUGGUCUGUCUGAGUCCAGAUGUAAUCAUCUUGCAUUCACUAUGGCAUGUUUCCCUUAUGUUAAGGGUUGCUGACAUAGACAGUGCAUGUCAUUCCUUUUGGUAUGGUCUUCCUCCUUUCUAGCUUUUUUCUGCCUGGAAGAUCCAGGCACCCAAGAGAAUGGAGCUUCCAUGUAAAUUUGCAGAAUCCCUAGGAUGAAAGCGGAGAGGAUCUACCCUGAAACCAACAAGUCUAGGAUGCACAUCUCUGCCUUUUUUUCAGAAUUAGGAAGGGGCAGGCAGAUGGGCAAUUGACAGGAAUAGUAGAAGCAUCCUCGGGGAAGUUGGCUACUUUACUUAGUGAGAAAGCAAUGGAAAGUGACAUUUGUAACUGAGUUUUAAGUGAAGUACAGUCCUAAGAGAGGAGCUCUGAAAAACAGCUGUUACCUGAGAUUGGGAAUGUUAAAGACCUUCUCAGAGCCUGACUGUACUCACAGCUGGACCUAGCUAUCAGAAGAGGGACUGCAACAUACCUGAGAAACUUUCAGAAUACUUAACGGAAGCAGAGUCAGGGGAAGUGAUUUUGAUAGUAGUCCAUGAGAAAAAAAUACGGUGUUUUAAAAUGCAAAUGAACUAAAAUUUAAAUCCUGCUCUCUCAGUAGCUAUGCAGCCUUAGGCGAGUUAAUAUCUUUGACCUUAGUAUUUCUCAGGUGUAAAGAGGGAUAAUUACCUACUCAGAACUUCACCUCUCCCAAGAAAGCUUUCCUGACCAUGUGCUGGCCCUUCCUUUACAUUGGGAUUAAAGUACCCCCCCCCGUUUUUCCAGGCUUUCUUGACUUUAAUUCUGUCAUAGCUCUAAUUAAGAACCUCUGUAAUGAUCUGUCUGCAAGCUUGUGAGAAAUUUGAGGACUGGGAACCAGCCUGAAACAUGUCUGUUCCCCUCUGAGUCAACACAGUGCCUGGGAUCUGGUGUCCAGUAGGGAUUUAAAGCAUAUUGAUUGAAUGAGAAAUGAUGACAGGAUCUACAUGGAUCACAAAGGAUAGUUGUUAUUUUACCUGUUAACUAUUUAAUAGCGAAAUUAAAUGAAAUAUGAAUUAACCUAGGACCAGGGAAGGUGGGGUAAGUUGUGUCUUUCACAUCAACCUUCAUAUGUUCCCCAAUUUUUUCUUCCUUCAUGUACCUAGGACACUCUUGUUCAAACACAAAGGUGGUUUUAUUUUGGGUCUAUACUAGCUAGUUCCCUAGAAAGGUCUUAAAUACAAAAUGAAUGGAAUACAAAAUAACCUCCCUCAUUGUUUUUUUUCCCGGACAAAUGACAGGAUGCAUACAGAACUGCUACUUUUGUGAUGUUGCAAGUAAUGGUAUAGAUGUGCACAAAUCAUGGAUGUGGUCCCAGUGAUCCAUGGAAAUGUGAAGUCCAGCUAUAAUGGCUCCUGCUAGAGUAUUAGCUCCUGAUGGUAGGGAUCUUUGUCUCUUGCUCACUGGUAUAUCUCAAGCAGCCCAGAUCUCAUCUCUGGUGAGCAUACAUUGGAGUCACUCAGAAAAUACCUGUGGAUGUAAUGAAUGUGUUUGUGUCCUGUGCUAGAUGGGAGACUUGUGAGAGAAAGGGCCAUGUGUUGUUGGUCUUUGUAAACCUACCAUCCACACUCUCUGAUACAACCAGAAGGGCAGUACUGAAUAGUCGUUGAAUUAAUUAAUCUUUUGAAAAUGACACUUAUAGGGAAAACAUUCUCUUUGCAUUCUGCAGCUUUUCCAGUGGUUGCCAUUUGUUUCGGCACCAUAUAGGUACCAGAUGCCAUAGGCAGAAUCUGGCACCAUAUAGGUACCAAAUGCCAUAGAAAGGCAGCCAUGGGAUACCUGAAGGCCAGAAGUCUGAUUCAUUUUCCGUGGCAUCUUCACAGGGUAGCACAGUUCCUACCACACAGCAUGACUUGUGGUGGUGUUUUCAGAUCUUGGUCAUUCAUUGCCUAAAUUGUUUUGGUUUUAUCUGGACAGGACAUAUACUAUGAUUUACAUAUUGCAUUUUAUUUUCACAAGACAGUGGCUUUCAGAAAGAAACACAAUUAUAUAAUUAAACACAAAGCAGAACGAUUUACAAAAAAGUUGAAAACAAAGUGGAAGCUAUUGUUUUGUAAUAGGAUACAUAACAAUGGAUGGGCUAUAGUAGGCACUUCAUGUACCUUUUUUAUUUAACCCUAAUGAAAACCCUUCAAUCACAAUGUUGUCAUUCCCAUUUUCAAAAGAGAGAAGAUUGAGAUCUAAGGCCUUAUGUAACUUGGCCAGUAUCUGACAGCUAGGAGGUAUCUGAAUGAGGUGGAAUCUUCCAGGCUCAUUGAUGAGAACACUCCACAAAGAUGGCCGUAUAGGCAGACCCCCACCGCUUAACUUGCCCCUGGAGUUCUCUCUGCUCCCCUCCCCGUUUCUCAUGCACACAUCUCUGCAACAUUUUCCUCCCAUCUCCUAAUACUUUCAGAAGCUCCUCGUCUUAGAGGUUGUUCUCCUGCUCCUUUGGUCAAGUGCUGGAAAAUUCAACACUAAUUUCUGCAGAGGUAGAGGAAUGGAGUUUGUUUCAAGUCCUUGUGAAGGGAUAGAAUGAUUGGUACUUACAGCUGCUUCAAGGUCUUGAUGAGGCUGGAUCUGGAGGAGGGUCUUUUAUGCAAGCUAGUCCCUGCAUGAGAGGAUUCCGGUCUUGGAAGGAUGCCUUCCCCUCCACAAAGACAUCUGGCCAGCCCACAAGGAAGAUAGUUUACUUAUCAAUGACACUGUGUACCCACAGGCUCAGGCCAGUUUCGUCAGAAGCAGAACAGGCUUUCCAAGGUCACCAAGCUGUUCUAAACUUCACCGAUUCAUUAGAGAAAGGCAACAAGACAGAGGCAUGUUUGGUAUCAAAAUUGUGAUCAGGAAGAUGGCUGCAUUCCCUGUUCCAUGGUAAAACAUCUCAUACCACCAAUGAACUCAGCCAGUUCUAGAGAGAUUUCCACCAUGAUAGAACGUUUCUGACUGUGGGCUCAGGGCCAGCCAUUCUCUGGGAGUGCAAGAUGGAAAAAUAUGAGGCUUCCCUUUCCUCUUUUCAAUCUUUUUCCAGGUUAUUUAUUUCGCGGCAAGUUUGAAAAUCAGUAGUUCUGUUAGGAGUUUUCCUACACUACAAUAGUAUAUCCUAUGAGUGAAUAGCCAUCACAAUCUUAGAUUCUUUCCCUUUAGCUUUGAUCAAAUAGCUUUUACUACCAAGCUACAUCGCAGAAGGAAGCAUCCUUGAUUUUUGUGUCAGAUGAACUUCUCAUUGUGUAGAAUUCACAAAAUUCUAAUAAAGAAAUUAUAUUGUGGGAAAAUGGUAUUGCUUUACUGCAAUAUCAGAAUAUAUAAUAAUUGCUUUUUCAGGGCCCACUAUGUAUCAGGUGUUUUAUAUAUCUUACUGAUAGUUUUCUUAAAAUCCCUGUGACGUACGAAUCUUUCUUCCAGUUUCACAGAUGAGGAAAUUUAGGCUCAGAAGGAUAGAUUACUUGUCCCUGUUCACACAGCUCGGAGGUGCAGAGCUGGGAUUUAAGAGGCAUGCAUCACAAUCCAUUGCCUACAUUGGUCAGCGGUAUUCCUACAUUUUACAUAGUCUUGGAAAGAAAUCCCUGUGUCUCUGAAAGUCACUAAUGUAAAUUUUAAAAUUCCAUACUGCUGUUAUGUCAUCCUUCUAUUUUAGAGUUUGACUUAUGACAAACGGUAUUUUUCCUUUCCUGUGAAAUAUUUAGUUUAGUUUACAACAAUAUAUUUAGGGUUGGCAGCUUUGAAAAUGUGUAUAUAUGAAUAAGUUAAAUAAUGUUGAUUUACCCCUUUUUGUGUGCUGAAAACUGCUAUGUACUGUGUAGAGGCCCAUGAACUAAUGAAUUUGCUUUCUCUCCCUGUGACACCUACCAGCUUCUAGAAUACUUUGCAUGGCUCCUGAUACACAAAAGCCACACAUAGCGUACCUAUGUGGAAAGUAACCAGUGUACAGCCUCCAGUUUGGAAGUGGGUGUUUUUGCUAUCAGUGUUUCAGUAUGAAAUGUAUUCGUUCAGCAAACCCUCUGCAAUGCCUGUGUGUCUCAUGCAGUGUACCUGACUGAUAGAGCAUAUGUAAAGACCAAGUAAAAACUGGCCCUUAUUCAUAACCAUCUCCUAGGAAAACAAAGCAAUAAAAGAAUGUAAAUUCUCAAUUAUAGUCUGCACAGGGUGUAUUUGCUGUGAAAGAGGGGAAAAGAGGGAGAGGAUACAAGAAAUUUGACGGAGAAAGAGUAGAGGAAAUAGGAGCAGGACUCACAUCUGGCAGACUGAAUCCUUGUGACUAUGAAUAUGCAUGUCUGUGCUUGAAAAUGCUGUUAUUUGUGGGUUCAGAGGCUUGAUUUCAUAUUCCUGCAUGUUUGUGCCUUUCACCUAAACACUUAAAUAAUUGGAUUAGCAAUCUUAUAUUCAUUCAUUAAUCUCUCCAGUUAAUUUAUUUUUAAACAAUCACUUGUAAAACCUAGGGGAAUUUCUAAAUUAAUCCCACUGUGAGGACAUUUCAGAAACUGAGAGAUUAUUAGAAAGGCCAACAUCAAUUAUGAAGCCAGGAAUUCAGCAAUACACGGGUACUAGAAGCUAUUGACAAAUGGGAGCUAGGUUAAAAGAAAGUCCCCAUGUUUCAUGCACUGUGGUAGGCUGUGGGUUUGUCAGGGACAUUCAGGAACUUUGCAGGUGUCUCAUGCAGAAAAUCAUGCGGGCAUAUCCUAACCCCACUGCCAGUGGUCUGUAAAGAUUUGUCACAGUUAUUUAUCCAGGAGGUGUUUUACACUCACACACCCACACAUGCAUGCACACACACACACACACACCUCUUAUAAAUUAGAAUCCUGGAACACUGAUUGAAUCACAGAGCUAGCUGGUGUUAGAGACUCUAAAGCCUCAAGGAAUGUCUAUCAUACGUGUUUUCCAUAAUAAGUUAUUUAGUUUAAUUCAGAGCCACUGCCUGCCAUUCCUCUGGCUUUGCUUGUCUGUUUUGGCCCCGCAAGAGAACCCUGAAAUUGAAGUCUCUGCCUCAUUUAAAAGGCAGGGACAGAAGGGGCAGCCCCAGCAUCUGAGCCCUUCACACUGAGAAUGACACCAUCUUACCUGGAAGUGUCCUCCAUUGUUGCUGUCACACUUGAAGCUGCCUGUUCUCACAGCUAUAUUGCAAUCAGUCUUCACUACAUAACAUUUAGCAUUCUUGGCCCUUGGCGUUUAGCUAUACCUACUUUAAUUUGCACCUUAGAGCUAUAUAGGUUAUGGCUGAGCCAGAUAUUAGUCUUCAUCCUCCGCAGUGGUUUAGACAACGCAGUGCAUCACUUUAACCACAACAGAUUCCAUAUAGUAAUAACUUAAAUACCUGUAUAUUAGUUUCCUAUUGCUUCAUUAAAAAUUACCACCCACUUAGUGGCUUAAAGCAGCAUACAUUUAUCAUUUCACAGUUUCCAUAAGUCUGCCAUGGAUCAACUGUGUUCUCCGUUUAGGACCUUGCAAGGCUGAAAUCAACUUGUCACUCUCACAGACACACCCAGGAUUAUGUUUGCUCAAAUGUCUGGGCACCCCGUGGCUCAGUCAUGUUGACACAUAAAAUUAACCAUAACACCAAGCGUCUUGACACAGCUUGUAAAUUAACCAUUAUAUUUUAAUUCCCUUUUUAUCUUAAAUGAUCUAUUUCCCUGUUUUCAUACCUAUAAAAUGGAGCUGUGAAUAAUUUUACUUUGUUAGUUUCAUGUUUAUUAAUUUUAAGGUUAUAUGUGUGAAUAGGCAAAACAGUUAAUCAGGCAGUUGAUGUUCUUUACUGCAAAAGGGAACUUUUACCAUGUGGCAUGCAGACUUUUAAUAGUUAUGAAAUUUUUACCACAUAGCAAGUUCUUCUACAAGCUCUUUAAAUGCUUUACCUCAUUUGAUUCCUAAGUACCUUUAUUAUCCCUAUGUUCAUAGGAAGACAUUUUGUAUAACACACAGAAGCUAAGUAAUUUAUCCUAAAUGACAUCUUUUAAGUGGCAGGCCCAGGAUUGGAAUCUAUGACUGUAGAACCAGUCUUCCUAUCCAAUUAUUGUGACCAUAUAAUUUAUCAUUCAAACACGUCAAAGAGAGAAAUAUUAAAAUUAUGCCUCCACAAUUGGCAUAAGACAAAAAGUCAGACAUAUCAAGCCAAUUGCUCACUACAUGACAGUUUUGUUUUUUUUUGUUUUGUUUUUUUUUUGCUUACACCUAACAGAAAAAUCUUACUUAGACUGGCUAAAUCAAAAAGCAAGUUCAUAAUCUCACAGCAUUUGUAACAUCCUCAUGACAUGACUUUUUCUUCCUCUACUAUGUUGUUCCUGUCAACAUACAUACUGGUGUUAUUUUUGCCAUGUUAAAAAAAAUGCAAACACCAAAAACCUGUUUACCUCACUCCUUUUACUUGCUUAGUGCCAUUUAUCUGUUCCCCAAUUGCAAGCUUCCCACAGAGCGUUGUCUAUGGUCACUGUGUCCCAUUUCUCUCCUCCUAUUCUGUCUUAAUCAUACUUCAGCCAGGCCUACGCACCUUCCACUAAACAAACUGUUCUUGUCAAGGUAACCAUGACACCAAUAUUUCUAAAUCGAAUGGCUAUUUCGCAGUCUUCUCCUUAAUUUACCUAUUUAUACUUUUGGAUAGAGUUAGUGUGGGCGGUGGCUUGCUCCUGUAAUCUCAGCACUUUAGGAGGCCAAGGAGA